Artibeus jamaicensis (Jamaican fruit-eating bat) is the source of this 2800-nucleotide long non-coding RNA. RefSeq lists it as uncharacterized. The transcript has 3 exons. Lineage: Eukaryota; Metazoa; Chordata; Mammalia; Chiroptera; Phyllostomidae. The record is from RefSeq and is a predicted model, not a curated record.
UUCCAUUACCAUUUAGUCCCCUUCGUCCUCCUCCCCCCAGUGAUCACCACACUGUUGUCUAUGAGUCCUUUUUCCUUUUUGCUCAGUUCCUGCACCCUCUAGCCAACUAGCUAUUAUCUGUCAUCCUUUUUUUUUAUGACCUUGACACUCUUGAAAAUUACUGGGUAGGUGUUUUGUAGGAAAUCCUCAAUCUGGGAUUACCUGAUGUUUUGUCAGAAUAGACCGGAGUUAGGGAAUUUGGGGAUGAAUCAUAUAAAGGUCAAGGGCCCUUCUCAUCACAUCAUAUCAAGGACACAUGCUAUAAUAUAUACACGAUUUAUCACUGGUGAUAUUAGCCCUAAUCAUUAGUUAAUGUAGUUUAUUUCAGAUUUCUUUCCUGUAAAGUUACUUUUUUUUUUAUGUUUUCACAUUUUGCUACUUGGAAGUGAAUGACUAAGUCUCACCCACACUCAAGGAGAGAGGAAUUAAGCUCUCCUUCCUGGAGUGGGGAGCAACUCAUUAUUACUUGUAAUUGUUCUGUUAGGAAAUAUUUGUCCCUUUUCUUCCAAUUAUUUUCUAGUUUAUUCAAUCAUUUGUAUCAGUAUAGAGUUAUAGAUGUUCAUUUUAUUCUUUAGGUUAUAAUCCAGUACUAUAAUUAUUUAUUUUGUUUCUCAAUUGUCCCAGUUUUGGCUACUGGGACCUAUUUCAGUUUAACACAGUGUCCUUUCCACAUGUCACCAUAUUUAAAAGCAUUUCUUUGUUUUCUGUCACUGCAAGAUGCUUCAGGUACAUCAUACGCAUUUCCUGCCUCAGCUUUAGAAUAAGUCAUUCUCCAAGGAGCCUGGUUUCCUUUAUUGGAGAAUUGUAUUAGAAACCAAGGCCUCCCAGUGGUCAGUGCCAGAGAAUUCACACGUGUUUUGUAUUAACCCACAUAUAUACCAUAAGAAGACUUUAAGUAAAUAAGAAUACAAAUAGGUUGUUACAAAUGCCACGAAGACAAAUGUCAUAUUCUAUGAUGGAAUUAUAGGUGUGCCUUAAUACAAAUGGUGUGAGGUAGAGGUCAGGGUGGUCUUCUCUGCAGCAAGAAAAUGUAAGCCAAAAUUUAUUGACUGAAUAGGAAUUAACCAGGUGAAAGGACAAGGAGACAGAGUUUCAGGUAGAAGGAGCAGCAUUUUAAGAAGAACCAAGUAAAAAGAGCUCAAUGUAUUAGAAUAACUAGAAGUGGUCCAUCCUGGUGGCAGCAGAGUGAUCCAGAGGAAAUGAGGACUGCAGAUGGGCAGAGGCUGGAUCACAGAGGGCCUUGAAACCGUGUUCCUAGUGUUGUCUCCAAUCAACUCUUCCUGUUUUGAACUGACAGUGGGCCCAGGCAGAAUUUCAAUACGAAUUGUCACAGGGAGAGACCACCUGUAGCACCUACUUUUUAGUUUAUUUCAAAGUCAGAAGCACAAAUGGUCGUAAGGACUCCAAGAGCAAGAGAGAUGUGAAUUGUGAUUGCAAAAGGACUCCAAGAAACUAUCCAUUCCCCUCACUUGUUUAUCCUGAUCCAUGCCCUAGAAGGAUGACCCUGCAAACUGCAUCACCAGGCUCUCUUUGCCUUUGGCUUCCUGUUCAGUUUUGCCAACAAGAAAUAACGUCUCUCCACUGCCUCAAUGCCAAGAGUCUAAGGGAAGCUCUUUGUUUUGUGACUACAGCUCCCGGUGGGCAACUGCCUUCCCUAAUGCCAGUUCUCACCAAGCUCCAAGACUACUGCCUCACCUUGCUCCUUUGGGCAUAAAGGAGUAAAAGCUUCUUGAUGUUUGCUAUCCCUAGAUGCCUCAGGAUCAUUUUUUGGUUUCCUCAUCUGUAUUCAUAAUUCUUAUAAAUAGUUCCGUCAUUAAUUCUCAUCAGAAUCCAUUGUGAGCAUGUACUCUUUCUGGCCAGGGCCCUGAGUGAUACAAUAAAUAUUUAUAACAAGGUGGGAAAAGGAAGAGAAUAGAGUCCCAUUUUGGGGGUGCAAAAGGCCAUCCACAGAGCCAGAUACUCUUGACAAUAGAUAUUCAAUAAAAGUAAAUAAAUCUAAAGUAUGGGGUAUGAGACAGGAUAAGUGAGAGCAGAUUUCACAACAAUCUGAGACAUGGACCAAAUUCUUUUUAUCAGAUGACUCUUUCUCCAAUAUAGAAUAUAAACAGAAGCGAGGGGGCAAAUCAGCAGUAUUAAUCAGCUCCCUUAGCUUGAAAAACAACAAAAUCCUAUCAUUUAUAAAGAUGUAAAAUAUUGUUCUAGGUUUUACUAAAAUUCAUAGAAAAAUGGUGUAGCAAAGAGCUUUUUCUUUGUGCCACUUUAGGCCUGGGUGUAGGGUGGAGAUAAGCAGGCAUAACAUCAUUAAUAGAAUGACUAAUUCUCACCUGCCUAACCAUUUGUGGAAUGAUUAAGAACUUCCAAAUAAUGUGCUAUCAGAAAUGAAUUAAUUGGCCUCCUUUUCACAAAAGAGAAUCAACUUUAUGAAUGACUUAAACAACAGAGAGAGUAACUAGUGCCCACAAAGUAUAUUGUUGUGAAUUGUGCCCAUAGGCACAAUUCAAGGUUUAUGGGCAUUCAGCAAAUUCUGUUGUUGUUCCUAGAAACCACCAAAGUCAGAUUAUUCCACAUGCUCCUUUUAUAAGCAUCUUACUUGUUACUGUGGUCAGGAAAGACACCCUUCCUCAGACUGUCUUUAUUGGAGGAGACUCUGUUGUUUUUUUUUCUUUUGACAUGUGAUUUUACAGAAGAGGAGAGUUGUCUUAGAUCCAUUGUGGAUACGUUGUGCCCAUAAUCAGACAGAUCUUAUAUAAAUAACCACAGC